This 301-nucleotide ribosomal RNA is filed under the name uncultured bacterium. RNAcentral describes it as "partial 16S ribosomal RNA". It matches the Rfam family "Bacterial small subunit ribosomal RNA", at positions 509 to 807 of the family's 1533-position model. The record is from RNAcentral.
CAGUCGCCACGGGAAAACGGAGGGUGCAAGCGUUGUUCGGAAUUAUUGGGCGUAAGGGGUGCGUAGGCGGUUUGGCAAGUUUGGUGUGAAAUCUUCGGGCUCAACUCGAAGUCUGCAUCGAAAACUGCCGGGCUUGAGUAUGGGAGAGGUGAGUGGAAUUUCCGGUGUAGCGGUGAAAUGCGUAGAUACCGGGAGGAACGCCGAUGGCGAAGGCAGCCACCUGGUCCACUUCUGACGCUGAGGCGCGAAAGCGUGGGGAGCAAACCGGAUUAGAUACCCCAGUAGUCCCUGUCUCUUAUAC